UUUAAAAUUAAUUGUGACCGUAUAUUAGUAAAGAAAGAAGUGUGGUGCAAUGGCCAGCAGCACGGGCAUAGGCGCAAGGGUAGACGGAGGCCUGGGUUUUGAGUCUCACAUUGCGUACAGAAGGCUUGGGUUUUUGCUGCUCACGUGGGGAAGGAGUUGGAGUCUGAUCCGGACUCUCCUGGCAGCAUGCUGAAACGGUGCAAGGGGUGGAUAAGGAUGCUGCUGCUUAUCGGUGGGGGAGUUUGAGCUGAUGAGGGGAUUGGGUAAGGAUGAGAUAAGGGAGGAAAUUUAGGAGCUGCUGAUCAAGGACUUGGGUGUUGGCCGAAUGUUGGACUCUUGAGGGGCAAGAGUUGGCCGGUCAAGGGUUUUUUAUCAUAGCCGAAUCUCUACUCUUUUCUUUCUUAAAAAACUGAAAACCUUCAUACCUGUAGUAUAGGAAGCUGAACCUUUGGCUACUUGAAUCUACUUCUUCUCGUAACAACGGUGGAUUGGAGUUAAGAUCAUAGAUAGGAGCACUUUUAUGGGCCAAACAAUGAUUGGUAAGUUUGUCGAAUAACUUCCGUUAAUUAUUUAUGAUUUAAGAUAAAAGUCGAAACCCCUUAAGGGUGGCUAACGUUUGGACUAAGGGUGUUGGCGCCUCUUUCUUUUUCAUUGUGUAAGCGUUAGCGUGGACAAGGCGGCGUGCUGUGGAGGGUUUGAAGACUGAUUCGGAUUGGAUCUCUAGAUCUAGUCCAUGUUUCGGCGGAAAGGUAAGAACUUUAGGGUCUAAGGCAAUGUUGGCCGAAUAUGGUAAGGGGACUAGUACGUAGUUGUUUUUGAUAUGUAGACUGACGUUUAGUAACUCGAUUGUAGGCAACACAUGUGUGGAUAUCGCCAGCGUAUCGUUACUGAUCAGGUGUGUAAACGACACCUGUAACAGCCCAAUUUGGACCCUAAUUGGAACGGUGGUUUCGAGACCACGAAUCCGAGUUAGAAUAAUAUUUAAAUAUUAUUUUCUAUGUUUAAAAUGUGUGAAGUUGCUUUUGUGAAAGUUUGGUUUAAAAAUUUUAGUGUUUGGAGGUCGAUUGAUGAAAAAGGGUUUAAUCGCUUAAAAUGAAAAUUUUAAGGGUUAAUGUAUAAAGGCCAAAUUAUGAUUGUUUUUAUAUUAUGUAACAUUAAGGUUGCAAUUUGGCCAUAAAUAGGAAUUAGUGGCCAACCAAUAUGCAUGGAUUAAUGACUUGAAUUGUUUAUUAUAUUUUAUGGCAUUAUGGUAUACUUUAAUAUAUGUUAAUAUAUUAUAUUUAAUAAAAGAUGAAAGUGUACAUCUUUCUUUUAUUUUUUUUGGCCGAAACUAAGAGAAAGAAAAGAAAGCUUCAGCUUUGAUAUUUUCGGUCCUUGCAUGUUCAAUUAGGUAAGUGAUUUGAGUUUGGUUUUUGUUAAUUUUUACACUUUUGAGAUAGUUGCUUUGAAUACUAUAAAGCCCAUGUUUGAAAUUUUGAAAUUGAUGAUAUAUUCAUAGAGUGUCAUUGUUAAUAGUUUGAUGAAAUUUAUGUUUGAUGUGAGAAAAUAAAAUAAAUGUGUUAGAUUAACAUUUUGGUAUUGGGAUUUUUGGUAAUUUUGAGCAUUUAGGGUUAAAUUGAAAAAAAUACUAAAUUGAAGGACUAGAUUAUGAAAUUAGUGAAAUGGGAGGAUUUAUAUAAGCUUAGUGAACAUUCGGCCCUAGCAUUGUAUAUGCAAAUUCUUCAUAUUUUGUAUUUUGAGAAAAUUGGAUUAAAUUGUAAAAGUGCAUAAUGUUAGGGGUAAAUUGGUAAAUUGCUCAAUCAUGUGUAUUUGGACCUAAAUGAAUGAAAUUCUAUUUGAAUGAGAUUAAUUUGGAAAUUUUUAGAUCAAGAAUCAAAAAGAUCGGACGUGGAUCGGGGAAAAUAAAAAAAUCGUUGAGUAGUUGAAUUCAACUGUUCGUCGAUAUCCGAGGUAAGUUAUUAAGUAAAUAUUUAUUGUUGGUUUAAAUAAAUAUAAUUUAUAUAUUUGUGUGAGCCGAGUUGGAAUAUAUAAAAUCUUGGUGUUGCCGAACGCAAAUAGGAAUAAUAAAUAUGAAAAUUUCACUAAGCAUGCGAGUUUGGUUAAUGAGCACUAAGUGUGCGAGUUUUGAUUAUCGAGCACUAAGUGUGUGAAGGAAAAUAUUAAGCACUAAGUGUGCGAUUUCAUGGCUUUUCUAGUUAAACAAUAGCACUAAGUGUGCGAAUACAACGGGUGAAGGAAAGGAUCAGACGAUCUAAUUAUCAAAUGCAAGAGUAAUAGUGUAAUAUUUAUGUUCGUAAUAAUGCAGGUACGUAAUCAAACCUUUGUGGUUGAUAUUAUUGAACUUGAAAUUAUAUGGUUGGUAGUAAUAAAUAUAAUAUGUAUGAUAGAUUUGGAAAAAUGAGAGAUGGAUGAGUUGAAAAGAAUAAAAUAAAUAAUAAUAAUAAAAUGAUAUGAUAUAUAUAUAUAUAUUAUAUGAUGUUUGAUUAUUUAUUUUAUAUGUGAGUGAACAUUCGACUAGGUAUUAAAUGGUAAGAUGGGAAGUGUUAAGUAAUUUUUUUUUUAGAGUUUAUGUAUAUUCGAAUAUGUUAGGGAUUAAACUUGAUUGAUUGAUAGAUAUAUUGGUAGUCAAGUUUGGUUGAAUAUGUGAUUUUAGUAGCAGGACUUGGUUACUCAAAUUGAGCUAUUAAUGUCUUUUAAAUUGUUCAAAUUGCUUAUAACUUACUAAGCUAAAAUAACUUACUUUGAGAAUGUAUUUACUUGUCUUAAUUUUAUAGCUUUUGGAGAUUGUUACAUGCUCGGGAUCAUCAGUGAAGCUCAUCACACUAUCGUCUAUAUUUUGGUACUCUUGAAAGCUUAAGUUUAAACUUAUGGCAUGUAUAAGCUAUUCUAUCUUUUGAAUCCAAUAUGAAUGAGAAAUGUAUUUAAGCCAUGCGAAAAUGGCUUAGUUAUUAUAUGUUAUGCUUGGUUUAAAAUCUUCUUGGUUAGAUGUUUUGAUAUGUUUGGUUUGAUGGUUUAGUUGCAAUUUUAAUCCAUUUGAUAAGUAUAGAUUAUAAUUUGCAUAAUUGAUAUAUAUAUAUAUAUAUAUGUUCGGCUAUAGGGUGUUAAUUAACAAAACAUAUAUACUUUUAAAUUUGCGCAUAUGUCAUUGUGGAUAUAUGAAUUGAUUGAGUUAUAUCAAGUUAUUAUGAUAUUUGGAUGUAUUAAUAUGCUAUUAUAGGAUGUGAAUUAUUCUUAAGAUAUAAUUGGUGUUUUAAUUAUGUGGUUAUACUCUACAAAUGAUAGAUGAUAUGGAAAUUAAUACACUAGUGGUUGGUAUGUGUUCUUAAAAUUAGUUAUAUUAAAAUGGUCAAAUGCGUAUGGCUUUGUAAUUAGCAAAUAGGCAUGUUUGGUUUUUAAAUGAACUGCCAAGUAUGUUUUAUUUUAUUUUAUUUUUCUUUAUAAUAGCCAAUUUUAAUGUUGUACAUUAUUUGAAUAGUAAGUUAUGUGAAAUGUUUUAUCUGGUUAAGUAGUACAUGUAAAUAAUUAUGAAGUCAAAGGUUUAAUAUUUGAUUUGAAUUCGUUUGAACUUGGGGAUUAUAAUUCGUGCAUACAGUGUGAUUAAUAAUUUAAUAUAUUUUAUUUUACGAAGAAGAUCUAUGGAAUUAUGUGAAUGUACGAAUACUAUGUUUUUCUUCGGUAAUACAUCGUAACCCCGCCGGCGAUAGACGUGAGUUAGGGGUGCUACAACACCCACUCAUAGACUAGAUCGGCAAAAGCCGAAAACCCGAAAUGCCGAAAAGUCGGCAUUUGUGAACUUACGAGCGUGCGAGCGCUCAUGAGGUGGUUUGUUUGUUAAUUUUGGUAAUCAUAAGCGGUAAGAGUGCAGAGUGCGCAAUUUCGUGCACUUCGGUAUAUUUGGGCUUAAUGGGCUGAAAACGGGAUAGUGGGCCAACGGGCCCAAUUCGGUAAAAACGCUCGGUAAGUGUUUCUGUUAAUGCGUUAAUGGUUAUAAUAUGUGUGUAAACUCUAGAAUAGUAAAUUUUACUAAAAUACCCCUAAGUAUGAAAAUUACCAUUUUACCCCUAGGUGCAAAAUGACCGUUAUACCCCUAGGGUUAAUUUUGACAUAAAUGCAUGAUAUUCUGAUUCUGUUUGUUGUAUGGCAUGACAUGUAUAUCUGUUGCAUGGGAUCUGGGUUAUGUUAUGGAGGAAGAACUCGUUCUGGUGGCUGUGCCACAUAUUCUGAUAUAAGCAGCUUUGCUGCGAAUUAUAGUUAGUGUCAUAACCGGUGCUAACACCGUAAGUGUGGGGAUGGCGUGGGUGAUUUAUUCCCCACAGGAAGUGUAGGGAUGGACGGAGGCAAGUGCAGGGUUGGAUGGGGUUAUCAUGCAUUAAUCAUAUGAGACUGUUUUGUUAUGGGCCAACUGUAUUGAAAUGGGCUCAACGUGUUAAUAUGGGCAAGGCCCAAUAUAUCUCGACUUGUAAUAGGGCUAUGGCCCAGAUUGAUGCUGAUAUGGGCUAGGCCCAGUAUACUCUAAUAUUGUAAGGGGCUAUGACCCAGAUUAAUAUUGAUAUGGGCUAAGGCCCAGUUAACUCUGAUUUCUGAAUAGGGCUUAGGCCCAGUAAAGCUUGAACUGAUUUGGGCUCUAGUUGAGAUACUUUACACACUGAGUUUUUCAAACUCACCCCUAAAUUUUAUCCAUGCAGGUAACUCUCAACCAUAGUGGACUUGGAGCUGUAAGGGAUUCGGAAUAGCCACAUGUUUUGCAAGCUACAUUUUCUCCUUAUGACUUGAUUAGUUUUAUUUACUUUAAUUGCUUUUGGGUUUUAAGUUGUAAUAAGGCCGC
RNAcentral lists this long non-coding RNA (4825 nucleotides) under Gossypium barbadense (sea-island cotton). Its description in RNAcentral is "long non-coding RNA (GBAR_LNC012589)". The record is from RNAcentral. Lineage: Eukaryota; Viridiplantae; Streptophyta; Magnoliopsida; Malvales; Malvaceae.